GGUGCUAGUUCAGUGGUUAAAAUGUUGGAUUCGAGCUCAGAAGGUCAUGAGAUCAAAUCCCAGCACCA
Molecule: non-coding RNA, 68 nt
Organism: Pangasius djambal
Lineage: Eukaryota; Metazoa; Chordata; Actinopteri; Siluriformes; Pangasiidae
Source: the annotation of a GenBank genome assembly